AUUCCAGCUCCAAUAGCGUAUAUUAAAGUUGUUGCAGUUAAAAAGCUCGUAGUUGGAUUUCUGGCAGGAGUGACUGACCACAAACUCUGUUUGUGAGUUGUGUCAUUCUGGCCAUCCUUGGUAAGAUCCUUUUUGGCAUUAAGUUGUCGGGAAGGGGAUGACCAUCGUUUACUGUGAAAAAAUUAGAGUGUUUAAAGCAGGCUUAUGCCGUUGAAUAUAUUAGCAUGGAAUAAUAAGAUAGGACUUUGGUUCUAUUUUGUUGGUUGGAGGCCAAGGUAAUGAUUAAUAGGGAUAGUUGGGGGUAUUCAUAUUUAAUUGUCAGAGGUGAAAUUCUUGGAUUUAUGAAAGAUGAACUUAUGCGAAAGCAUUUACCAAGGAUGUUUUCAUCA
RNAcentral lists this ribosomal RNA (389 nucleotides) under Skeletonema sp. Its description in RNAcentral is "partial small subunit ribosomal RNA". It matches the Rfam family "Eukaryotic small subunit ribosomal RNA", at positions 582 to 975 of the family's 1831-position model. Lineage: Eukaryota; Bacillariophyta; Thalassiosirophyceae; Thalassiosirales; Thalassiosiraceae. The record is from RNAcentral.